Homo sapiens (human) is the source of this 72-nucleotide transfer RNA. It matches the Rfam family "tRNA". Rfam says of the family: Transfer RNA (tRNA) molecules are approximately 80 nucleotides in length. Their secondary structure includes four short double-helical elements and three loops (D, anti-codon, and T loops). Lineage: Eukaryota; Metazoa; Chordata; Mammalia; Primates; Hominidae. The record is from Rfam.
GGGGGUAUAGCUCAGCGGUAGAGCGCGUGCUUAGCAUGCACGAGGUCCUGGGUUCAAUCCCCAAUACCUCCA